ACAGCAGCAGCCGCGGUAAUACGAAGGGGGCUAGCGUUACUCGGAAUUACUGGGCGUAAAGGGCGCGUAGGCGGCACGAUUAGUCAGGCGUGAAAUUCCUGGGCUCAACCUGGGGACUGCGCUUGAUACGGUCGAGCUAGAGGAUGGAAGAGGGUUGUGGAAUUCCCAGUGUAGAGGUGAAAUUCGUAGAUAUUGGGAAGAACACCGGUGGCGAAGGCGGCAACCUGGUCCAUUACUGACGCUGAGGCGCGAUAGCGUGGGGAGCAAACAGGAUUAGAUACCCGCGUAGUCCCUGUCUCUUAUAC
This 305-nucleotide ribosomal RNA is filed under the name uncultured bacterium. Its description in RNAcentral is "partial 16S ribosomal RNA". It matches the Rfam family "Bacterial small subunit ribosomal RNA", at positions 505 to 807 of the family's 1533-position model. The record is from RNAcentral.